UACGGGGGGGGCAAGCGUUGUUCGGAAUUACUGGGCGUAAAGGGCGCGUAGGCGGCCUGCUAAGUCAUACGUGAAAUCCCCCGGCUCAACCGGGGAACUGCGUGUGAUACUGGCGGGCUUGAAUUCGGGAGAGGGAUGCGGAAUUCCAGGUGUAGCGGUGAAAUGCGUAGAUAUCUGGAGGAACACCGGUGGCGAAGGCGGCCUUCUGGACAGUGACUGACGCUGAGACGCGAAAGCGUGGGGAGCAAACAGG
RNAcentral lists this ribosomal RNA (253 nucleotides) under uncultured prokaryote. RNAcentral's name for it is "partial 16S ribosomal RNA". It matches the Rfam family "Bacterial small subunit ribosomal RNA", at positions 524 to 776 of the family's 1533-position model. The record is from RNAcentral.